Molecule: ribosomal RNA, 777 nt
Filed under: uncultured bacterium
Lineage: Bacteria
Description: bacterial SSU rRNA
Rfam family: Bacterial small subunit ribosomal RNA
Source: RNAcentral
ACGGGAUUUGUAUGGUGCUUGCACCAUGUAAUGAGAGUAGCGCACUGGUGAGUAACACGUGGGAACAUACCUUGAAGUGGGGGACAACAGUUGGAAACGACUGCUAAUACCGCAUAAUCCCUGAGGGGGAAAGAUUUAUCGCUUUAAGAUUGGCCCGCGGAAGAUUAGGUAGUUGGUGGGGUAAAGGCCUACCAAGCCGACGAUCUAUAGCUGGUCUGAGAGGACGAACAGCCACAUUGGAACUGAGACACGGUCCAGACUCCUACGGGAGGCAGCAGUGAGGAAUAUUGGGCAAUGGAGGAAACUCUGACCCAGCCAUGCCGCGUGAGUGAAGAAGGUUCUCGAAUUGUAAAGCUCUUUCGGAUGGGACGAUGAUGACGGUACCAUCUAAAGAAGCCCCGGCAAACUUCGUGCCAGCAGCCACGGUAAUACGAAGGGGGCAAGCGUUGUUCGGAAUUACUGGGCGUAAAGGGUGUGUAGGCGGAUUUGUAAGAUAGUGGUGAAAUACCUGAGCUCAACUUAGGAAUUGCCAUUAUAACUAUAGAUCUGGAGUGACAGAGAGGAUAUUGGAAUACCCAGUGUAGAGGUGAAAUUCGUAGAUAUUGGGUAGAACACCAGUGGCGAAGGCGAGUAUCUGGCUGUCAACUGACGCUGAGGCACGAAAGCAUGGGGAUCAAACAGGAUUAGAUACCCUGGUAGUCCAUGCUGUAAACGAUGAAUGCUAGUUGUCGGCAAAAGCCGGUGACGCAGUUAACGCGAUAAGCAUUCCGCCUGGGG